Molecule: ribosomal RNA, 595 nt
Filed under: uncultured Lactobacillus sp.
Lineage: Bacteria; Bacillati; Bacillota; Bacilli; Lactobacillales; Lactobacillaceae
Description: bacterial SSU rRNA
Rfam family: Bacterial small subunit ribosomal RNA
Source: RNAcentral
GACGGGUGAGUAACACGUGGGUAACCUGCCCAAGUGACUGGGAUAACACCUGGAAACAGAUGCUAAUACCGGAUAACAACACUAGACGCAUGUCUAGAGUUUAAAAGAUGGUUCUGCUAUCACUCUUGGAUGGACCUGCGGUGCAUUAGCUAGUUGGUAAGGUAACGGCUUACCAAGGCAAUGAUGCAUAGCCGAGUUGAGAGACUGAUCGGCCACAUUGGGACUGAGACACGGCCCAAACUCCUACGGGAGGCAGCAGUAGGGAAUCUUCCACAAUGGACGCAAGUCUGAUGGAGCAACGCCGCGUGAGUGAAGAAGGGUUUCGGCUCGUAAAGCUCUGUUGGUAGUGAAGAAAGAUAGAGGUAGUAACUGGCCUUUAUUUGACGGUAAUUACCUAGAAAGUCACGGCUAACUACGUGCCAGCAGCCGCGGUAAUACGUAGGUGGCAAGCGUUGUCCGGAUUUAUUGGGCGUAAAGCGAGUGCAGGCGGUUCAAUAAGUCUGAUGUGAAAGCCUUCGGCUCAACCGGAGAAUUGCAUCAGAAACUGUUGAACUUGAGUGCAGAAGAGGAGAGUGGAACUCCAUGUGUAGCGGUG